CUAGUACUACCUCCAUGAUCCCACACUCCUAAUCAUAUGAGCUAAAAUGUUACACAUUCAAUCUUUGAGAAGAUAUAAAGAAAAAGACAUAUACAUAGAUUAUCUUUCCAUAAGGUUGAGCGAUCUGAUCAGACAAAUUUUUUAAAUGCUACACUCAUGAUCUUAUUAUCCAUCAAAUUUGUCUUGCUCACUAUGAUUAAGGUUAGAGAAGAACAAAUACACUUUUGGUUCUGUUGGUGUUUUCCACCAAUAGGACCCAUGCACUGGAUCUCUGCCUUGUCUCUAUGAGCCGGUACACUCCAAAACAUGGAGGAGUUUUAUAACUCUCAGACUCUACCAAGUAAAGGACCUGGAUCUACGAGCACAAACACACGGAUCAAGAUGCAGCCAACGCCGCACUUCGAACUGCUGGGCAAACGAAGAACAUGAGUGACACCGUAUCAAGAGGUGCAGACGUCAAGGUCCACACCUAAAUCAAAUGACGCACCUAAAGAAUGAACACGGUGAGAAGUCUUGUUCAGAAGACUUAAAACAUUGAACCCUCGCCGAAAGGUAAAAUCGGUAGUUAUCCAUAUUUAUCCUUUCUGCAUUCCCUUUUCCCUUUAAUUAUUUACUUUCCUUAAAUGGCUUGUUAGUUAAUCAUGCUAUCUUGAAAAGAAAACAAAAAUAAUACUAAGCCCCAUGUGAGUAUGCUCGUGGCAUAAAACCCAUAAGUACAUUCACUGUGGUGGCGUAAAAAUAAAAUAAAUAUAUUCCUGUCUUAUAGAAAUGAAAAUAUAAAAAUCAACUUAUGAUCCUACCAAAGAGAGUAAUAUUUAUUAGAGGAGGCUCAACAUGAUAAAGGCAAAGAGAUUUUAUGCUAACACUUAACCAGUUCCACAAAGCUUUGUUGUCUAUUUGAGCUCCAUAGAAUUCAAGGAUCAAAGAAGACUAGCAGACGGAGGACAUCCUAAUCACUGUCAGGGUGCUGCCGACAUUCAACUACACCUCCGCCACCAGCUACAUCAGAAGCAAUUACGUCAAAAUCCAACUUGGGGGAGAGAAACCCCAUUUAUCCAGCUAAGUUUUUCUACUCGCAUUUAUACUUUACUCAAAUAAUAAAAAGAUGCAUAAUCAUAAAAACCCAAAUAAAGAUUUUAUGCUUAUAUAUACAUAUAUGCUUAGUUUGCUAAAUAAGUAAAUAAAUAAAUAAAGUUUGCUAUGAACCCUCAUGAUAAGCUCGCAUAUGAAAAUGAUGAAUAGUUGCUCUGCCUAGUUCUCAAAAUUGAAAUCUCUCUCAAGUUUAGGCAUGACUGUUAUGAAUUAAGAUUUGCUCUAAACCUGAACUUGUGGGAAGAGUACUUGAUCUAAAGUCUAAGUCGUUAACGGAUAUGAUAUGGGAAGGUUGAGCUACUGUUUAUCUGUUCCUUUAGAUGCUAGAAUUCUGAGAAUUUUAUCUUUGAAAAUCUUUAAAAUGUUGCAUUCCUUUAUGAUGAUAGUUUAAAAUCCUACCACAGCCACAUAUACAUGCUUAUUAGACUAUGAACCGUACAUUUACUUUUUACUACAUAUGAGCAUUGAGUGUGGUCAAGUUAUGUAGACCCUUAGGAACUUGUCAUGUGGUUAAAAUCAAGAUCCACUUGCACGUUCACUCAUACAUGCUGCUUCUACUCCGGAAGUACGCAUCCACAUACAUCCAUUCAUUUCCAUCUCCAGAUUCACCCAAAAUUAUUCUACUCCUAUCUGGGAGAGAAUAGACAAAAACAUUAUGCCAUUCCUGUUUUUCCCUGUGAAAUAAAUGCUUGAGCUAUUUUGGUUACUACCACUUGCUACAUUAUUCCAGAAGGGUGAGCGCUCUGAAAAAAGAAGAAGAAAAAUAUGAGGAAAUAAAAAGGGGCAAGUGCCCGGAACCUCGAAAGAAAAAAGAAAAAGUGAGACGAGAGGUAAAAAUGCACAAGUGUCCGACAGUAGAAUUAGGGGUACAAGAUACCCACCUGAGAGAAAAGAAAAAGAAAAUAUAGAGCAUCUCAUUCCUCUCAAAAACCUUCAAAGUGCAAGAAAGGUAUGCAUCCCCUCAAAAGAGCAAAAGUAGAAUUAGACUUUCACCAUUAUUUUCACCAUUAUCACCAUCAUCACCACACACCAUUCAUCCGCCAUGUUGACGGUCCUUAAUGCUCACAUUUAACCAUCAACUAAUCAUGGAAAAGGGUCCAAAUGCAACCAACACCCAGACUUAGGGUUUUAUCUGACAGAAUUCCACGAGUUUUGGUGUUUGUCUAUUUCUGCAGGGGGUUAUCAGGAAAUACGGAAGAAAGGCCCACACGUCGGGUUUACAUAGAGAUAUUAACGUGUCGUGCAAUUUUCUAUCAUCUAGAAGACACCAGAAGCCACGGGAAGGAAGCAGAGGCCGAGAGGGCUCAGGGACAGGGCGCCCGACCAAGUCCUGAGGGCGCCCGCCCUGGAGUUCUGCCCAAUCACGUCCAAACUCGAGGAUCGUGCUCCACCGACCUAAGGGAUCAAGGAUAACCAUUCAAUCAAUGUCGGUUUGAUCCAACGGCCCAUAUUCACUUAAAGGGACUAUAAAACCAGACCCCUUGGCCCCUGGAGAUCAUACCUCUUCUACAGAAUCAAAGCUAGGGUUUCAAUUCUUCAUCCAAGUAGAGAGGAUCCCUCUAGUUCUUCUAGUUCUACCUCUAGUUCAUCUAGAUCUAGUUCUAGUUCAUCUAGUUCUAGUUCUAGUUCCUCUAAUUCUAGUUCUAGUUAGUUCUAGUUGUAAUCUAGAAAAUAGGGAGAGAGAAGAGGAAAGCGGAGGAGGAGCCGGAUCUGUCGCAUCUUCCUCAACAUUGUACCUUUGCAGCAACUGGUUCGUUCUUCAUCGUUCUCUAGGUUUUUCAAUUCAUAAUUCCUGAGUUCUUCAAUUACUUUUAUUUACGUUCAAGUUAUUUAUUGGAUUCCCGCUUGCAUCAAGUGCUCUAGUCUUUAUAACGCUAGAGUAGUAAUUAAUAGAUUAGACGUGGUGUUUAGUCUUGUAAUUACCUAGAAUUGCACCCAAUCCUACGGAUUGUGGUGGUAGCCUUUGGGUAGUGACAGCCCUAACGGUCGACGUAUUCCACCUCGUUCGGAUCAGUGUUUCUAGGACCGUAGUCAGACCUUCCUAGCCCCCUUCUCAUCUCUUUCUAUGGUUAGUGCUCUAAUGUCCCGAUAUAGAUUAUCUUGAAGUAAUUCUUGAUUCUUAGAUCAACUAGAGAACUCUCAGGAAACUUCCUCUCUUCCCACCAAAAAUAAUUAUAUAGUUAUCUUUGGGCGAUCUUGGAUCUUAAUUAGUACACUCAUGUUCUCUGUGGAAAAUCGAUACUCUGGAAUACUCUUGGGGGAAAGCUACAUCGGUAUCCGUGCGCUUGCGGAUUUUUCUGUUUGCGUUCAAAAUACCCAACAAGCUUUCUGGCGCCGUUGCCGGGGAACGGUAGCUGUGCUAGUUUCAAACCAAGUUGUCCGUGUGUCCUUUUUCUUUUCUUUUUUACCACAAUCACCUUAUCAUUUUUACCAUACCACAUGGAUUUCACUGUAAGCAUUAAUGAGCAUGGAAUUUAUUUCAUAGCCACUUCAUUUACUCCAUGCUCAUAUGCAACAUCUUCCCAAUCCAUUGGUUUUUCCAACAUCACCACAUUCGAGAUCUCCAACCCCCUCAUCCUUUCUAUUUAUAAAAACUUUAAAAGGGCGGUUGUCGAUGCAUAUGUCUAUAUUAAAUAUUGCAGAUCUCGUUGAGUUGAUCUUGAUAUAGGUCAGCGAUGGAGGGGAAACCACUUCACCGACAUAAAUUGAUGGUUUCCCAAGGACAAGCUUAGUGUCCUAAAAUAAGCACUGAUCAGAUAAUAACAUGAGCUUUUAAUUAUUUGCAGCAUUACCUUGUGUAUUGAGCAUAUAAGGAUAAUUGUAAGAAAAUUCCUUCGGGUAUUCUUGUCACUAACCUUUCCAGGAUUGGAGCAAGAAGAUCGGAUGAAUGACAAGCACAAAGUAUGUCCAACCAAUCAUCAUGCAACAUUAAACUAAAUUCAUCCAAUCUUGAAUUUUGGGGGAGUACUUCGCAUAAAAACAUCCUUUGCCAUGUUGCUAUGUUGGUUGUCCCUACCUUUGAGACAUGCUCAAUUUGUUAAAUACUAAUCACACUACUUCAUCUCCACUUGAGUAGAUCUCUAUAAAUGCUCUCAUACCACCUUUAUUUACUUUAGUAUAUGUCUAGGUUUGGAGUAGUUUCAUUUAUCUCUUAAUUAAGCAUGGUGCUUAGUUUAGGGCUGAUGAUCUUACUUCCAUGGGAGUUUAAAUUAAGCAAGAUGCUUAGGUUAAAAUGCCCUCCUAAAUCAAAUUAGACAUGGUGUCUAGGUUGAUUUUUGAACCGAUAGUAUGCUAUAGUAGAUAUGGGAUAUUUUGUUGCACUAACCCAUGCAGGAAACCUUUCAAUAUCGACCUGGGAAGUCCUGAGACAAACUCACAUUGGAGGCAAAGAGAGAGACACAUGAAGGUUAACAAUUUACACAAGGAAAGCAGAGCUCACAAUUGAUGAUCUAGGGAGGGUGCUACAAACACGAUGCACAACCGCUAAGAAAGGAAAGCUUCCAUAAGAUGAUACUAUACCAUCACUCUUCAAGUAAGGUAACAUCUUAAGGUAUUUGACUAUCACUUUUUAUAAGCUUCUCCUUGGAUCUGGUGUUCACAUGAAUAAAAGAGACAAACAUGUAUGAUUUACAACUCUAGGUUAACCAACCCAAUCAAUUCAACAUGUUUAGUCCUUCCACCGUUGUGAUCUCACACUCCUAAUCAUAUGAGCUAAAAUGUUGCACACUCAAUCUUUGGAAGAUAUUUAAAGAACACAUAAAUAUAGAUAGAUUAUCUUUCCAUUAGGUUGAGCGAUCUGAUCUGACAAAAUAUUUUAAAUGUUACACUCAUGAUCUUAUUAUCCAUCAACUUUGUCUUGCUCACUAUGCUUAAGGAUAGAGAAGAAUAAAUUCACUUUUGGUUCUGUUGGUGUUUUCCACCAACAGGGCCCAUGCACUUGAUCUCUGCCUUGUCUCUAUGAGCAGGUACAUUUCGAGCAAAAUAUGAAGGACUUUUACAACUCCCAGACUCCACCAAGUGAAGAACCUAGAUCUAGGAGCACAAACACACUGGAGAUACUAGACACUCAGGCAAUCACUGCCCUGAGAUGCUUGAGGACGUAACUACUGGAGUAACCCCAUAGUGGAAGUAAUUACUGACCUUCUGCCGGUCAAGAGAGACAAUCCAGGACGCCCCGUCAUCCCGAUCUCCAUCGGCAUGGUGGACUUCCUAGGAGCACUCUGCGACUUUGGCUCCAGCGUCAACAUUAUACCCAGGGGAGGCCAUUUCUGAACACCUCGGGAGGUGUCAUCUACACUAGUGCUGUCAAGAUCAGUGUCUACAUCCAGGGAAAGAAGGAGACGUUUUCCUUCAAGAACAAGACUACACAAAUCUUAGAGGAAUCCUGACAUGAACCAAGGAAAGGACCAAUAGGAGGAACAGGAACAAGCAAAUGUGGACCAAGUUAGCUAAGAUAGUCACUGCAGUUUAAGGAGGUCAAGAUCGUCGAUUUAAGUCACCGUUCCUGACUAAAAAGGACAACCCAGUUCCAGAUGGCAGAUCAGACAUUCCAAAAGAUUGAAGGUUAUUGACAUGGGAGAAGACGAGUACGAUUCACCCAUCAUCCUUGCGAGACCGUUCCUCAGCACCGUUAUAGCAAUCAUCUACAUUCCAACCGGAGAAGUCCACAUGCACUUCCCCUCUGAGAAGGUACGCCGCUAUUUUACUGACCCUAACUAUAUAGUUGAAGACUCUAAGCAGGUCAGGACAAGAAGGAGACGACGCAACCGCAACCAGAGAAGGCAAAAUCAUCAAGGAUGGAUGGGCAGACUACGAAGGAGAAGUAGUGAGGUCUGAAGACAUACAGCUUGAACAGAACUGUCCUGAGGAGACCGUAGCACCGAGUCAGGUGUGGAAAAAGAAGAUAGUUAUACAUGAAGAGCAGGCGCCGCCGGAACCACCGACUACGCCAUCCAGCGAAUCCCAGGACGAAUGAGAAAACGGAGAGUCCCGUUCGGAGGACGUAAAAACACCGAACGCCUUGCCAAGAGGUAAACUUGGUAGUUAUCUUUUUCCUUUCAAUUAUUUUAAAAUAGUUUUCUUAGUUAAUCAGGUUCAUAUCAUCUCGAAAACAAAAUAAAAAUGUUAAAAAUAGUAAGCUCCAUGUGAGUAUGCUCAUGGCAUAAAACCCAUAAGUACAUUCACUGUGGUGGCAUAAAAAUGAAUAAAUAUAUUCUUGUCCUAUAAAAAUGAAAAUAUAAAAAUAAAUUUAUGAUCCUACCAAAGAGAGUAAUAUUUAUUGAGGAGGCUCAACAUGAUAAAGGCUAGAUAUUUAUGCUAACACUUAACUAGUUCCACAAAGCUUUGUUGUCUAUUUGAGCUCCACAGAAUUCAAGGAUCAAAGAAGACUAGCAGACGAAGGACAUCCUAAUCACUGUCAGGGUGCUGCUGACAUUCAAAUACACCUCCGCCACCUGCUAGCUACAUCAGAAAAAAUUACAUCAAAAUCCAGCUUGGGGGAGAGCACCCCCAUUUAUCCAGCUAAGUGUUCUACUCAUGUUUAUACUUUACUCAAAUAAUAAAAAGAUGCAUAAUCAUAAAAACCCAAAUAAAAAUUUUGUGCUUAUAUAUAUAUCUUUGCUUAGUUUGCUAAAUAAAUAAAUAAAUAAAAUUUGCUAUGAACCCUCAUGAUAAGCUCUCACAUGGAAAUGAUGAAUAGUUGCUCUGCCAUGACUAGUUCUCAAAAUUGAAAUCUCUCUCAAGUUUAGGCAUGACGGUUAUCAAUUAAGAUUUGCUCUAAAACUGAAUUUGUGGGGAGAGUACUUGAUCUAAAGUCUAUGUCGUUAACGGAUAUGAUAUGGGAAGGUUGAGCUGUUGCUUAUCUGUUCCUAGAGAUGCUAGAAUUCUGGAGAAUUUUAUCUUUGAAAAUCUUUAAAAUGUUGCAUGAUGAGUUCCUGUAUGAUGAGAGUUUAAAUUCCUACCACAGCUAUAUAUACAUGCUUGCUAGACUAUGAGCCACACAUUUACUUUUUACUACUUAUGAGCAUUGAGUGUGGUCAAGCUAUGUAGACCCUUAGGAGCUUGUCAUGCGGUUAAAUCAAGAUUCACUUGCACGUUCACUCAUACAAGCUACUUCUACUUCGGAAGUACGCAUCCACAUAUAUCCAUCCAUUUCCAUCUCCAGAACCACCCAAAAAUAUUCUACUCCUAAUCCGGGAGAGAAUAGCCAAAAAUAUUUCUUUUUUUCCCCUAUGAAAUAAAUGCUCAAGUUAUCUUGUUACUACCACUUGCUAUAUUAUUUCAGGAGAUGAGUGCUCUAAAAAAAGAUUGAAAAAAAAGAGAAAAAUACGAGGAAAUAAAAAGGGGCAAGUGCCCGGAACCUCGAAGAAAAGAAAAAGUGUCCGACAGUAGAAUUAGGGGUACAAGAUACCCACCUGAGAGGAAAGAAAAAAAAAAUAUAGAGCAUCUCAUUCUCCUCAAAAAGUUUCAAUAGAGCAAGAAAGGUAUGUAUCCCCUCAAAAGAGCACAAGUAGAAUUAGACUUUCACCAUUGUUAUCACCAUCAUUACCAUGCACCAUUCAUUCGCCACACAUGCACAUCUUGAUUUGACUUAUUGACUUGUUCUUCUGGAUCCAUGGUUUGACUAUGCAAUAAAUGUCUUGUAAGUAUGUAUUAGCUGUCUCCCACCUAUGAGCUCCAGAUAUCAAAAGCCUUAUUAGAGUAGGGUAAGAGAGAAGGCAAUGCCACUAUGCCUUAUACCAAAAAUACCACAUACUUUGAGAGAAGGCAUACACCUUUACUGCCUUGGUAAGGAUCCAGAAAUACCACAAAAGAGAGACUAGAGAGAGUCAUACAAGGAAUCUCUGACUUUUAUUUGAAAAUCUGCAAAAACUCUAGAGCUAUAGUUAAUCGAAGAACAAGAGACAUAGCGCUUGAUUAGACCAUUCUAUCUUUUAACUACUCAAGACAUAAGUGACGGUUACAAACCCCAUGGUGAAAGGUAAUAUGAGUAAGUUUUAAGUCUUAACAGUUUACUCUAAUCCAGAGAUGAUAUCUUGUUUGAACGCAUUUGUAUCUUUAAGGCAUGAAACCACUGCAGAAACUCUUGAGUUCAUCUUUGCUCAGGGACGAGCAAAGGUUAAGCUUGGGGGAGCUUGUUGACGGUCCUUAAUGCUCACAUUUAACCAUCAACUAUCAUGGAAAAGGAUCCAAAUGCAACCAACACCCAGACUUAGGGUUUUAUCUAACAGAAUUCCACGAGUUUUAGUGUUUGUCUAUUUCUGCAGGGGGUUAUCAGGAAAUACGGAAGAAAGACCCACAUGUCAGGUUUACAUAGAGAUAUUAACGUGCCGUGCAAUUUUCUAUCAUCUAGAAGACUCCAGAAGCCACGAGAAGGAACGGGAGGCCGAGCGGGCUCGGGGGCAGGGCGCCCGCCCUCCCCCCUUGGGCGCCCGCCCUGCUACAGUGGCCAAUCACGCUCAACCUCGCGGAUUAUGCUCCACCGACCUAAAGGAUCAAGAAUAACCGUUCAAUCAAUGUCGGUUUGAUCCGACGGCCCAGGUUCACUUGAGGGGACUAUAUAAGCAGACCCCCUGGCCCCUGGAGGAGGCACCCCCUUGAUCAUUAUUCAUUAUUCAUAGACAGAGCAAAAGCUAGGGUUUAGAGAUGAGAGCUCUCCUCUCUUCUUUAAACUAGGAUCUAGAUAGUAGCGAGAUGGAGAGCGAAGGAGGAUUAGAGGAGAGGUCGGCCUGUCGGUUCUUCCUCCGGUUGUACUUUGUCAUGAUCAAGCUCUAAUCAAGCUUGCUCAUGGGAUGACUCUGGUAAUCUACUUCUAAUUUAUUAUGCAAUUACUAAUCAUGUAUGUUCUGGUUCACAACUCUUUUGAGUACUUCUAAUCUAUAGGACCCUAUAGGUUAGAGUUGUAGUAUAGGUGUGAGCGUGGUGCUUAGACCUAGAUUACUUGUGGAUAUCCCCUGUCUAGCUGGAUCGUGUGGUAGGCCGCGUACGUGACAGUUACGUUGGUCCUCUGUAGUCCACCUCUCAUUAGCUCGACGGGUAGGGUUUAUCGGCCUAAGCAUAAGCAUCCUUUGUGGUACUCUUAUCACGUGGUUCGUCCCAGACAUAGACAUACCCCUUUGAUGUAGAGAAACCAUAGUUAUCCUCUCUAUUCUGCUACCAUCGCCCAUAUACCAGAAUUGCUCUACUCUCUAUUCCCAUAUUAUCACUCACUGUUAUCUUACCAUUAAUAUUGUUCUUAUUCAAUUCUACCAUCUUUCCUAUUUACACCUAUUUACUUAUCUUGGUUAAGUUAGAGCAUAGAUCAGUUCUCCCGUUUCCCUGUGGAUACGAUAAAACCUUUAACCGGGUAAAAGCUAUAACGGUAUCCGUGCGCUUGCGGAUUUAUCUGUGUGCGUAUAAAUACCAUAGUACACUCUAGUGCCAUGCUAGGGAUGACAACCUAGUAUUCAAGUGGUGUUAGCAAGUGUCAAUAGACGUAGCUCACAAUAGAUGAUCCAUGGAGGGUGCCACAAAUACGAUGCACAACCGCUAAGAAAGAAAAGCUUCCACAAGGUGAUACUAUACCAUCACUCUUCAAGUAAGGUAACAUCUUAAGGUACUUGACUAUCACUUUUAUAAGCUUCUCCUUGGUUCUAGUGUUCACAUGAAUAAAAGAGACAAACAUGUAUGAUUUACAACUUUAGGUUAACCAACCCAACUGAUUCAGCAUGUUCAGUCCUUUAAUCUUUGUUCCUAGUACUACCUCCAUGAUCCCACACUCCUAAUCAUAUGAGCUAAAAUGUUGCACACUCAAUCUUUGGAAGAUAUAUAAGAAAAAGACAUAUACAUAGAUAGAUUAUCUUUCUAUAAGGUUGAGCGAUCUGAUCUGACAAAUGUUUUAAAUGCUACACUCAUGACCUUAUUAUCCAUCAACUUUGUCUUGCUCACUAUGCUUAGGGUUAGAGAAGAAAAAAUACACUUUUGGUUCUGUUGGUGUUUUCCACCAAUAGGGCCCAUGCACUUGAUCUCUUCCUUGUCUCUAUGAGCACGUACACUUCGAGCAAAACAUGGAGGAGUUUUACAACUCCCAGACAUCACCAAGUGAAGGAUCUGGAUCUACGAGCGCAAACACACUGAGCAAGAUACUGCCAACGCUGCACUUCGAACUGUUGGGCAAAUGAAGAACAUGGGUGACACCGUAUCAAGAGGUGCAGACGUCAAGGUCCACAUCUGAAUCGAAUGACGCACCUAAAGAAUGAACACGGUGAGAAGUCUUGUCCAGAAGACUUAAAACAUUGAACCCUCGCCGAAAGGUAAAAUCGGUAGUUAUCCAUAUUUAUCCUUUCUGCAUUCCCUUUUCCCUUAAAUUAUUUACUUUCCUUAAAUGGCUUGUUAGUUAAUCAUGCUAUCUUGAAAAGAAAAAAAUGUUAAAAAUACUAAGCCCCAUGUGAGUAUGCUCGUGGCAUAAAACACAUAAGUACAUUCACUAUGGUGGCGUAGAAAUAAAAUAAAUAUAUUCCUAUCCUAUAAAAAUGAAAAUAUAAAAAUAAAUUUAUGAUCCUACCAAAGAGAGUAAUAUCUAUUAGAGGAAGCUCAACAUGAUAACGGCUAAGAGAUUUUAUGCUAACACUUAACCAGUUCCACAAAGCUUUGUUGUCUAUUUAAGCUCCGCAGAAUCCAAGGAUCAAAGAAGACUAGCAGACGGAGGACAUCCUAAUCGUUGUCAGGGUGCUACCGACAUUCAAGUACACCUCCACCACCGGUUAGCUACAUCAGAAGAAAUUACGUCAAAAUCCAGCUUGGGGGAAAGCACCCCCAUUUAUCCAGCUAAGUGUUUCUACUCCCGUUUAUACUUUACUCAAAUAAUAAAAAAAUGCAUAAUCAUAAAAACCCAAAUAAAGAUUUUAUGCUUAUAUAUAUCUAUGUUUAGUUUGCUAAAUAAAUAAAUAAAUAAAUAAAGUUUGCUAUGAACCCUCAUGAUAAGCUCUCAUAUGGAAAUGAUGAAUAGUUGCUCUGCCAUGACUAGUUCUCAAAAUUGAAUUCUCUCUCAAGUUUAGGCAUGACUGUUAUGAAUUAAGAUUUGCUCUAAACCUGAACUUGUGGGAAGAGUACUUGAUCUGAAGUCUAAGUCGUUAACGGAUACGAUAUGGGAAGGUUGAGCUGCUAUUUAUCUAUUCCUAGAGAUGCUAGAAUUCUAGAGAAUUUUAUCGUUGAAAAUCUUUCAAAUGUUGCAUGAUGAGUUCCUGUAUGAUGAGAGUUUAAAAUCCCACCACAGCCAUAUAUACAUGCUUAUUAGACUAUGAACCAUACAUUUACUUUUUACUGCUUAUGAGCAUUGAGUGUGGUCAAGCUGUGUAGACCCUUAGGAGCUUGUCAUGCAGUUAAAAUCAAGAUUCACUUGCACGUUCACUCAUACAUGCUUCUUCUACUCCGGAAGUACGCAUCCACAUACUUCCACUCAUUUCCAUCUCCAGAUUUACCCAAAAUUAUUCUACUCCUAUCUAGGAGAGAAUAGCCAAAAAUAUUAUCCCAUCCCUGUUAUUCCCCGUGAAAUAAAUGCUCGAGAUAUUUUGGUUACUACCACUUGCUACAUUAUUCCAGGAGGGUGAGUGCUCUGAAAAAAAGUGAAUACGAGGAAAUAAAAAGAGGCAAGUGCCCGAAACCUCGAAAGAAAAGAAAAAGUGAGACGAGAGGUAAAAAUGGACAAGUGUCCGACAGUAGAAUUAGGGGUACAGGAUACCCACCUGAGAGAAAAAAAAAAGAAAAUAUAGAGCAUCUAAUUCCCCUCAAAAAGCUUCAAAGUGCAAGAAAGGUAUGAAUCCCCUCAAAAGAGCAAGCAUAGAAUUAGACUUUCACCAUUGUUUUCACCAUUAUCACCAUCAUCACCAUACACCAUUCAUUCGCCACACAUGCACAUCUUGAUUUGACUUAUUGACUUGUUUCUCUGGAUCCAUGAUUUGACUAUGCAAUAAAUGUCUUGUAAGUAUGUAUUAGCUGUCUCCCACCUAUGAGCUCCACAUAUCAAAACCUUGUUAAAGUAGGGUGAGAGAGAAGGCAAUAUAAUUAUGCCUCAUAGAACAAAUAUCACAUACUUUGAGAGAAGGCAUAUAUCAUCACUGCCUUGGUAAGGAUCCAGAAAUACCACAAAAGAGAGACUAGAGAGAGUCAUACAAGGAAUCUCUGAGUUUUAUUUAAAAAUCUGCAAAAACUCCAGAGCUAUAGUUGAUCAAAGAACAAGAGACAUGGUGCUUGACUUGACCGUUCUAUCUUUUAACUGCUCAAGACACAACUGACGGUUGCAAGCCCCAUGGUUGAAGGUAAUAUGAGUAAGUUUAAAUCUUAAUAGUUUACCUUAACCAAGAGAUGAGAUCUUGUUUGAACGCAUGAGUACCUUUAAGGCAUAAAACCAUUGCAA
This 12484-nucleotide long non-coding RNA is filed under the name Sorghum bicolor (sorghum). RNAcentral describes it as "long non-coding RNA (SBIC_LNC014349)". Lineage: Eukaryota; Viridiplantae; Streptophyta; Magnoliopsida; Poales; Poaceae. The record is from RNAcentral.